Long non-coding RNA from Zea mays, 804 nucleotides. RefSeq lists it as uncharacterized. The transcript is spliced from 2 exons. NCBI's taxonomy places the organism in Eukaryota, Viridiplantae, Streptophyta, Magnoliopsida, Poales, Poaceae. The record is from RefSeq and is a predicted model, not a curated record.
AAAACAAAACAAAUCAAAACAAAAAAAGCACACUUGACACCUAUGGUCCUGUCCUAUAUAUGUUAGUGCUCGUGAUGGAUUUACAUAGAUGUUAACCUAACUGCAAGCAAGACCUCGCAACCGCUGCGACAUCUCGCAUCGCAUAUAUUCGCGUCAGGAGAGAGGGGGGAAAAAAGUUCGAAGCCCGACGCUGCACAACAUCCGAGAAGGUUUAUAGAGAACGAAGAGAGAGAGAGAGAUACGAGACGAGACUAUGGCCCAAACUUAAAAGUGGCUCCUUUUCGCUGUGCGUGGAGCUGGCCGCGUCGCAGAAGCACAUGACGAAGGGCCGCUCGAACGACACCGGAAAAAGGAAGGAACAUAUGCCAACAACAUCUUUGCUCGCUUUCUCCUCCCUCCGACCCUCCCCAGCGCCCGGGUCUGCCGCCUGCCCGACCCAUGGCCGUGGAACAACAUUUCAUUUCUGCCGCGCAAUCAAGAUGGCCAGGUAGGCGCGCAGAAGCCUUUGGCGCCAUCAUGCGUGCCUGCCGCCGAGCACCGUUAAAAAGGAGGUGGUGGUGGCUGCAGCUUGGCAUGUGAUUAUCCAAUUGCGUAGCAAAGCCUGGGACAACUCACGCGCAGAAGCGGCGGCGGUGGCGCCGGCUCCAAAGACGCAGCGAUGUGCUGUCUGUCGCCGACGUGGAGUGAGAUAAAUUCAGAGGGACGGACUGGUUCGUGCCAUGCCACGACUGCAAAGAAUGGCUUUGGUGCUGCCUGCCAGGGUGGUUUCGCCGACAAUGUAAUCCUGCCUGCUGCGUGCAUACA